This 527-nucleotide ribosomal RNA is filed under the name uncultured bacterium. RNAcentral's name for it is "bacterial SSU rRNA". It matches the Rfam family "Bacterial small subunit ribosomal RNA", at positions 984 to 1509 of the family's 1533-position model. The record is from RNAcentral.
ACAUCCAGCGGAACUUGGCAGAGAUGCCUUGGUGCCUUCGGGAACGCUGAGACAGGUGCUGCAUGGCUGUCGUCAGCUCGUGUUGUGAAAGUGUUGGGUUAAGUCCCGCAACGAGCGCAACCCUUAUCCUUUGUUGCCAGCGAUUCGGUCGGGAACUCAAAGGAGACUGCCGGUGAUAAACCGGAGGAAGGUGGGGAUGACGUCAAGUCAUCAUGGCCCUUACGAGUAGGGCUACACACGUGCUACAAUGGCGCAUACAAAGAGAAGCGACCUCGCGAGAGCAAGCGGACCUCAUAAAGUGCGUCGUAGUCCGGAUCGGAGUCUGCAACUCGACUCCGUGAAGUCGGAAUCGCUAGUAAUCGUGGAUCAGAAUGCCACGGUGAAUACGUUCCCGGGCCUUGUACACACCGCCCGUCACACCAUGGGAGUGGGUUGCAAAAGAAGUAGGUAGCUUAACCUUCGGGAGGGCGCUUACCACUUUGUGAUUCAUGACUGGGGUGAAGUCGUAACAAGGUAGGCGUAGCGAG